RNAcentral lists this ribosomal RNA (433 nucleotides) under uncultured bacterium. Its description in RNAcentral is "partial 16S ribosomal RNA". It matches the Rfam family "Bacterial small subunit ribosomal RNA", at positions 29 to 507 of the family's 1533-position model. The record is from RNAcentral.
AACGAACGCUGGCGGCAUGCCUAACACAUGCAAGUCGAACGAGACCUUCGGGCCUAGUUGCGCUCGUCUACUUACCGACUGGGAACCUGCCCUUAGGUUCGGUAUAACUCCCCGUAGGGUGUCUUAAUGCCGCUUAGUUUCUUCGGGCCAAAGAUUUAUCGCUUUUGGUUGGGCCCGCGUUGGUUUAGCUAGUUGGUAGGGUAAAAGCCUACCACGGCGACGAUCCAUAGCUGGUCGGAGAGGAUGAUCAGCCACACUGGGACUGAGACACGGCCCAGACUCCUACGGGAGGCAGCAGUGGGGAAUAUUGGACAAUGGGGGAAAGCCUGAUCCAGCAAUGCCGCGUGAGUGAUGAAGGCCUUAGGGUUGUAAAGCUCUUUUACCCGGGAUGAUAAUGACAGUACCGGGAGAAUAAGCUCCGGCUAACUCCGUG